AAGGUUAGGUCCCCUCUCCUCUCCAUAUAUUUUUUUAUUGGCUUGCCCUAUUGAUAAGUAAUACUUUGUGAGGAGCAAGGAGUUGAUAAGUAAUACUUUGUGAAGAACAAGGAGGGGAAAAUCUUAGCUGCUAUUACAGUUAUUAUUCAUAUCAACAAUGACUUUCGCAGGUAUGAAUUCGUUUCUAUUAAUUUAUUGGAUUGUGAUUAUCGAUUCUUAACAUGAUUAAAAAUAAAUAUUAACACUUAGUCCCGUCUAGUAAGUGUAUAAAUGCAUAUACCGGUGAUGUUUUCUUUAUUUUCCGUUGAAUUGAAGAUUUUACUGGAGCUCUGUUACUUUUAUCUUUGAUAUAUUAGAUGUUGAAGACCACAUUUAAAUGGGUAGCGGUCAAAUUUCUUUGCACACG
Molecule: long non-coding RNA, 406 nt
Filed under: Olea europaea (common olive)
Lineage: Eukaryota; Viridiplantae; Streptophyta; Magnoliopsida; Lamiales; Oleaceae
Description: long non-coding RNA (OEUR_LNC008033)
Source: RNAcentral